This 393-nucleotide unclassified non-coding RNA is filed under the name Hevea brasiliensis (rubber tree). The record is from RNAcentral. Lineage: Eukaryota; Viridiplantae; Streptophyta; Magnoliopsida; Malpighiales; Euphorbiaceae.
GAUGGAUGACCAUGUAUAUGGAUAUUUUUUUUAUGUUUUUUUGAGUAAUUAGCUAAAGAAAUUUGUUUGAAGUUAAUAUUAUAUCUGUGAAAGGAAUUUGGUUGUCCCUGGCUGUCUCAAUUCAAGUUCCACAUUGGCUGCAACUAGAUAAGAGUUGGUGAUUGCAAAUACGAAUUUGUGAAAUAAAAUCAUAUCCAUCUAGCAUAAUAUUUAUCAGGGGUUAUCCAUAUGUUUGGACUCAUUUAAAUUCAUGUGCAUAGACAUAAAUUUUUGCCAUUAAGUUGAAUACAGAUAUAAGGUAUUUUUCUCUAAUUAUUUUUACAUAUUGAAGUAUGAAUGUUAAAUUAAAUUUGCUCUAUUUUGAGAAAAAUUGCGAACAUUCUUCUCCAAAAG